ACAAACACAUAGCUACACACACAUAUAAACACACAUUAAAAUAAUUAAGCCACCCAGCAGGUCCUUACCUUCUGCUGGCUGUGGCUGGUGGGAGUUUGGGGCCGCCACUCCCGCACAGCUGUGUGAGUGAGCUGGGAGGAAGUAAUACGCUGUCACUUCCUCCCAUCUCUCUGUGCACGAUAGAAGAGGCCCGGUCGUGCUGUUAAAGCACCACAGCACACGACCGGGUCCCUCAUAUGCC
This is a non-coding RNA of Pelobates cultripes (western spadefoot toad), 241 nucleotides long. The record is from the annotation of a GenBank genome assembly. Lineage: Eukaryota; Metazoa; Chordata; Amphibia; Anura; Pelobatidae.